GGAAUAUUGGUCAAUGGACGAAAGUCUGAACCAGCCAUGCCGCGUGAAGGAUGACGGCCCUCUGGGUUGUAAACUUCUUUUAUCUGGGACGAAAAAAGGGGAUUCUUCCUCACUUGCCGGUACCAGAGGAUUAAGUAUCAGCUAACCACGUGCCCGCAGCCGCGGUAAUACGGAGGGUGCAAGCGUUAUCCGGAUUUACUGGGUUUAAAGGGUGCGUAGGUGGGUAGGAAAGUCAGUGGUGAAAUCUUCGAGCUUAACUCGGAAACUGCCGUUGAUACUAUCUAUCUUGAAUACUUUGGAGGUAAGCGGAAUAUGUCAUGUAGCGGUGAAAUGCUUAGAUAUGACAUAGAACACCAAUUGCGAAGGCAGCUUACUACACAGUUAUUGACACUGAGGCACGAAAGCGUGGGGAUCAAA
This 417-nucleotide ribosomal RNA is filed under the name uncultured bacterium. Its description in RNAcentral is "bacterial SSU rRNA". It matches the Rfam family "Bacterial small subunit ribosomal RNA", at positions 358 to 772 of the family's 1533-position model. The record is from RNAcentral.